Molecule: long non-coding RNA, 231 nt
Filed under: Elaeis guineensis (African oil palm)
Lineage: Eukaryota; Viridiplantae; Streptophyta; Magnoliopsida; Arecales; Arecaceae
Description: long non-coding RNA (EGUI_LNC082510)
Source: RNAcentral
GGUUCCCAAUUUUUUUAUAAUUUUUUUGGAUGAAAACAAUGGUCUUUUUGCUAAUUGACAUAAGCUAAUACCAGAAUUAUACUGAAAAUUACAAGGCUGCAAAAUUUGUAUCCUCCACAUAUUACAAAGAGACAACGUAUGCCGUUGUUUUCUACAAAACUUCAGCUGACACCCUGAGUUACAAAAUUGGUGUAAACACCAUAAUUAAGGAAGCAAACAAUUUGCUUCUAA